GCCGGGAUAGGCUCAGUGGGGGCGGGA
This 27-nucleotide transfer RNA is filed under the name Scapania ciliata. Its description in RNAcentral is "partial tRNA-Phe". The record is from RNAcentral. Lineage: Eukaryota; Viridiplantae; Streptophyta; Jungermanniopsida; Jungermanniales; Scapaniaceae.